RNAcentral lists this transfer RNA (73 nucleotides) under Phikzvirus phiKZ. RNAcentral's name for it is "Pseudomonas phage phiKZ tRNA". It matches the Rfam family "tRNA". Rfam says of the family: Transfer RNA (tRNA) molecules are approximately 80 nucleotides in length. Their secondary structure includes four short double-helical elements and three loops (D, anti-codon, and T loops). The record is from Rfam by way of RNAcentral. RNAcentral also lists the same sequence under 6 other names. Lineage: Duplodnaviria; Heunggongvirae; Uroviricota; Caudoviricetes; Chimalliviridae.
CGGAGUGUAGCGCAGUUGGUAGCGCGCCUGCUUUGGGAGCAGGAUGUCGGGAGUUCGAGUCUCCCCACUCCGA